GAGUCUUCCUUGGCCGUAUAGGUCUGGGUAAUCUUGUAAAUGUGUGUCGUGAUAGGGAUAGAUUAUUGCAAUUAUUAAUCUUGAACGAGGAAUUCCUAGUAAAUGCGGGUCAUCAGCUCGCGUUGAUUACGUCCCUGCCCUUUGUACACACCGCCCGUCGCACCUACCGAUUGAAUGAUUCGAUGAAUUUUCCGGACUGUGAUCGAGGACGCUUCGGCGACCUGGUUGUGGGAAGUUA
Molecule: ribosomal RNA, 238 nt
Filed under: Poteriospumella sp.
Lineage: Eukaryota; Chrysophyceae; Chromulinales; Dinobryaceae
Description: partial small subunit ribosomal RNA
Rfam family: Eukaryotic small subunit ribosomal RNA
Source: RNAcentral